UGCUAAACUAAAAUCAGCAAUACAGCGAAAGGCUGUCGUCCUGACUAACCUUGACGAUAGCAAGUGCCGUCCGAGCU
Molecule: small nucleolar RNA, 77 nt
Filed under: Brassica rapa (field mustard)
Lineage: Eukaryota; Viridiplantae; Streptophyta; Magnoliopsida; Brassicales; Brassicaceae
Description: snoRNA snoR121
Source: RNAcentral